RNAcentral lists this long non-coding RNA (972 nucleotides) under Numida meleagris (helmeted guineafowl). RNAcentral's name for it is "lncRNA (ENSNMEG00000006787.1)". Lineage: Eukaryota; Metazoa; Chordata; Aves; Galliformes; Numididae. The record is from RNAcentral.
CUAAAGGGCCCUACAUUACCCUACUGGUAAAUUCCAGUCUAGCUAAAAAGUAGCUUAGUUUGCUAACAUAAUGAACUAUGAACUAAUAGAAAAUGUUUUUUUUUUUUUUUUUAAGAGAAAUAAAAGAAAAUGUUGCUUUGAAUGAUCUCAGGAUGCAAGUUACAUUGGAACUGCAAGUUGUUUGAAGAUAACAUUUUAGCUGAAAUAUUAGAAGUGUUCAGCUCCAGUAAUUGUGGCUCUUAAUGAUUGUGUGCCUUGCAGAUUUAAAAGGUUGCACAGCAUUUACUCCAGGAAAUACUAAGAACUGCAGAAGAUGAAGUGUGAAACUAGGUCACUGCUAUUUGAGACUGUAAUCUUUUGGAAGGUUUUUCUGCUUCAAGAAUAAAGCUGCAUAUGGCUACACCACUUAUUUCAUAUUGCAUUGGUGAUUUUCCGUGAGUCAGAAAUAUGGCAUGGUAAGCUCUGGGAUCAGUUCACAAGAAAUAAAGCCACGUGGACAGAUUGCUGCAUCUCUGUAGUCUGUGACUCAGUUGGACCGAACUCUGCACAGUUGUAACAAACUGCAGCCGUUCAAGGACUCGGGUUUGCAAAAACAUGUACAGUAUAAACAUAGGUGGCAGGUGAGGAGAAAGCAGCACUUAAAAGAAGCUGUGAUGCUCCUGAUGGAGGAAGAUGGGGAUGGCACUGGAUUCUGUGACAGAAGGAAAGAGUGCAGGAAAUAACUCCCCAGUUCGCUUGAUUUUUACCUGAUGAUUUACAAGACAGAACUUGAAGCUAGAGGUAUGUUGCCAAAAAAAGACAGACUUGGAUUUCACCAUUUUUCUUCUUGAAGAAAAUAUUAAGUAGAAAGUCCAGCACUGUUCUUCCUAGCCAGCAGAUAGGAUUACACAAACUUCUUACUGCAAUUAUUCUCUUUGGUAUGUUCUAUUAGUUAAGCAACGUUAAUAGUAGAACAAUAUUUUUCUCAUUUAU